RNAcentral lists this ribosomal RNA (242 nucleotides) under uncultured bacterium. RNAcentral describes it as "partial 16S ribosomal RNA". It matches the Rfam family "Bacterial small subunit ribosomal RNA", at positions 334 to 593 of the family's 1533-position model. The record is from RNAcentral.
AAUGCCUACGGGGCGCAGCAGUGGGGAAUAUUGCACAAUGGGGGAAACCCUGAUGCAGCGACGCCGCGUGAGCGAUGAAGUAUUUCGGUAUGUAAAGCUCUAUCAGCAGGGAAGAAAAUGACGGUACCUGACUAAGAAGCCCCGGCUAACUACGUGCCAGCAGCCGCGGUAAUACGUAGGGGGCAAGCGUUAUCCGGAUUUACUGGGUGUAAAGGGAGCGUAGGCGGUCCUGCAAGCCAGGU